AGUUGGAGGGAAGAAAGGAUUUAGGGCCUAGCAGGUGGGUUUGGAGGAGAGAAUGGGAGAGGCUGAAGGUAGAGAAGUGAUAGAAUUUGGCUCACCUGGAAGGGCAACGGGCUAGAAGGGCUUCUGAAACGCUUGCUGAUUGCAAGUUCAGGGUAGCAGGCAACCUCUGUGAAUGUCAGGACAAAGUGGAAAAGACAUUCUGAGACUCACUCAAGAAGAGUUUCAUUUCUUCUGUGGUGGUGCUGCCACAUGUGGUAACUGCCUUGUGGAGGGGGGAUGAAAACAAGCCAGGAUUGAGUGGGUGCUGUGGCGGUAGGCUGGAAGGACACCUAUCCCACCAUAGAGGAAGGAGUGGAGGCCUCUGGGAGGUGGUGAUGAGGGAGCUCCAUCUUGAAGGAAUAGAAGAAUCUAAACAGGUUGGAUCUCCUCACCGGAGUGCUUCCUUUACAGCAGGCUCCCAUCAUCUUUUCCUUCCAGGUGCUCUCCUUGCUUUGCUCAGAUCCACUCUCCACCCCUCUCCACUUUGCUCUCUGCCCUGGAAGAUUGAAGUGAAUGGAUAUCAACAGGGCUCCUAGCUCUUUGGCUUUUGGCUGGCUUUGGCCCAUGAAGAGCUGUGGCAAGAGAUCGGAGUCAGGGCAGAGAAUCCUUACAUGGCGUCCAAUGAUACCCCUCCACCUUUCCCCUGUUCUUCCAGCCUUGAAGGACUCUGUCCCCUCAACCUCACUAUGCACUGGGUUUUGGAAUGUAGUCCUACUCAGAAUCCACAUCCAAGCCACAGCUGAUAUAUUUCUGAGGUCCUCAUCCCGAACCCUACAUCUCUGUAGUGGAAAGCUUCCCUACUGACUCAGACAAUGCCUGUUGCUGAAGAUCUACAGUUGGAGAAAGGACUAUUACUUUCGCCUGAAAGCUUUCUGAUGGAGGACACGUCAUCAGGAAAGAAGCAGCAGCCUUCACCUGCAGCGAAGUGGGGCUACACCACGGAUUUUUAAUUCAGCACUUUCGUACCGCAGCACAUUCAAGUGUAGAAACUGGUACUCUGACAAUGUGUGCCUUUCAAUGGAGGAUGCUUGAAGUGCCUUUCAAGGAUGCUGCUUUGUUUUUCUGGCUCUACAUGCAACCCAUACAAUUGAUGGAAUUUUCUAUUAAACAUGAAAGGGCUUAAGGAAAUUUGUCUAAUAGCAGAAUAACCCACGGUAAAGGCAUCAUCAAUUUUGAAAAGAAUAAAAAGAGAGAGAAAUUAAAGGAGCAGCUUGUUAAGCUAAAAAAAAAUUCUCUUGAAGAGUGAAGAUGGAAGAUUGGGAGUCACAAGAAGAGAAAAGAUUUUGUGGACACUUGGGUUCCACAAAAAACAAUUUAUAAAGCCAAGAUGUUUCAUUUCCUUUAAAUUAGUUACGACUUCAAAGGUAUAUGAAGGAAAAAAUGUAUUUGCAACAACUAGAGGAGUGACCCAGGAAACCCGGACACGCAACCAUCAUGUAUCAUUUCUGUGAUGGUAAGGAUUCAGAUCAGAAUGUGGUUUUCCAGGCCGAGUGCCUGUCGGGUUCACUGCUCCCUUCUGAGAAGUCUCCGAAUGCCUGCCAGGCUCACAACUCUUUCUUCAAAAUAUGUCCAGGAUACAGCUACUUCUCGCUACCUCCACUGCCACCACCCAGCUGGUAACCUGCCCAUGGAUCGCAGCCUGGCUCGGCAUGAGCCUGACAACACAUCAGCACCAGUUGCUAGCGUCCCUUUUCUGACAGAAGCUUCAUUCUUCACCAUGGAGAAAACCCAACCGAUAAUGACAGCCACCAACGGUCCAUACACAAUAAACAAACCCCACACAUAGGUUUGAUCUUUCAAAAAAAGUUGCAAGACUGCAG
Long non-coding RNA from Equus caballus (horse), 1859 nucleotides. NCBI's taxonomy places the organism in Eukaryota, Metazoa, Chordata, Mammalia, Perissodactyla, Equidae. The record is from Ensembl.